This 504-nucleotide ribosomal RNA is filed under the name uncultured bacterium. Its description in RNAcentral is "partial 16S ribosomal RNA". It matches the Rfam family "Bacterial small subunit ribosomal RNA", at positions 30 to 523 of the family's 1533-position model. The record is from RNAcentral.
AUUGAACGCUGGCGGCAUGCCUUACACAUGCAAGUCGAACGGCAGCAUGGAGAGCUUGCUCUCUGAUGGCGAGUGGCGAACGGGUGAGUAAUGCAUCGGAACGUACCGUGUAAUGGGGGAUAACGUAGCGAAAGUUACGCUAAUACCGCAUACGACCUGAGGGUGAAAGCAGGGGAUCGCAAGACCUUGCGUUAUACGAGCGGCCGAUGUCAGAUUAGCUAGUUGGUGAGGUAAAGGCUCACCAAGGCGACGAUCUGUAGCGGGUCUGAGAGGAGGAUCCGCCACACUGGGACUGAGACACGGCCCAGACUCCUACGGGAGGCAGCAGUGGGGAAUUUUGGACAAUGGGGGCAACCCUGAUCCAGCCAUGCCGCGUAAGUGAAGAAGGCCUUCGGGUUGUAAAGCUCUUUCGGCCGGGAAGAAAUCGCACAGGCUAAUACUCUGUGUGGAUGACGGUACCGGCAUAAGAAGCACCGGCUAACUACGUGCCAGCAGCCGCCGUAA